GUGGGGAAUAUUGGACAAUGGGCGAAAGCCUGAUCCAGCCAUGCCGCGUGUGUGAAGAAGGUCUUCGGAUUGUAAAGCACUUUAAGUUGGGAGGAAGGGCAGUAAGUUAAUACCUUGUUGUUUUGACGUUACCGACAGAAUAAGCACCGGCUAACUUCGUGCCAGCAGCCGCGGUAAUACGAAGGGUGCAAGCGUUAAUCGGAAUUACUGGGCGUAAAGCGCGCGUAGGUGGUUUUGUAAGUUGGAGGUGAAAUCCCCGGGCUCAACCUGGGAACUGCCUCCAAAACUGCAUGACUAGAGUACGGUAGAGGGUAGUGGAAUUUCCUGUGUAGCGGUGAAAUGCGUAGAUAUAGGAAGGAACACCAGUGGCGAAGGCGACUACCUGGACUGAUACUGACACUGAGGUGCGAAAGCGUGGGGAGCAAACAGGAUUAGAUACCCGAGUAGUCC
Molecule: ribosomal RNA, 450 nt
Filed under: uncultured bacterium
Lineage: Bacteria
Description: partial 16S ribosomal RNA
Rfam family: Bacterial small subunit ribosomal RNA
Source: RNAcentral